CAAUGGAUCUCUUGGUUCUCGCAUCGAUGAAGAACGCAGA
This 40-nucleotide ribosomal RNA is filed under the name Neocallimastix frontalis. RNAcentral describes it as "partial 5.8S ribosomal RNA". Lineage: Eukaryota; Fungi; Neocallimastigomycota; Neocallimastigomycetes; Neocallimastigales; Neocallimastigaceae. The record is from RNAcentral.